This 66-nucleotide transfer RNA is filed under the name Nonomuraea phyllanthi. Its description in RNAcentral is "Nonomuraea sp. PA1-10 tRNA-Arg". Lineage: Bacteria; Bacillati; Actinomycetota; Actinomycetes; Streptosporangiales; Streptosporangiaceae. The record is from RNAcentral.
GGGUAAGCUGGCUGAACUGCCACCGCUCUCCUAAAGCGGGUGCCGCAGGUUCGUACCCUGCCGGAG